Molecule: ribosomal RNA, 894 nt
Filed under: uncultured bacterium
Lineage: Bacteria
Description: bacterial SSU rRNA
Rfam family: Bacterial small subunit ribosomal RNA
Source: RNAcentral
AGAGUUUGAUCCUGGCUCAGAUUGAACGCUGGCGGCAUGCUUUACACAUGCAAGUCGAACGGUAACAGGUCUUCGGAUGCUGACGAGUGGCGAACGGGUGAGUAAUACAUCGGAACGUGCCUAGUAGUGGGGGAUAACUACUCGAAAGAGUAGCUAAUACCGCAUGAGAUCUACGGAUGAAAGCAGGGGACCUUUGGGCCUUGUGCUACUAGAGCGGCUGAUGGCAGAUUAGGUAGUUGGUGGGGUAAAGGCUUACCAAGCCUGCGAUCUGUAGCUGGUCUGAGAGGACGACCAGCCACACUGGGACUGAGACACGGCCCAGACUCCUACGGGAGGCAGCAGUGGGGAAUUUUGGACAAUGGGCGAAAGCCUGAUCCAGCAAUGCCGCGUGCAGGAUGAAGGCCCUCGGGUUGUAAACUGCUUUUGUACGGAACGAAAAGCCUGGGGCUAAUAUCCCCGGGUCAUGACGGUACCGUAAGAAUAAGCACCGGCUAACCACGUGCCAGCAGCCGCGGUAAUACGUAGGGUGCAAGCGUUAAUCGGAAUUACUGGGCGUAAAGCGUGCGCAGGCGGUUCUGUAAGACAGUGGUGAAAUCCCCGGGCUCAACCUGGGAACUGCCAUUGUGACUGCAAGGCUAGAGUGCGGCAGAGGGGGAUGGAAUUCCGCGUGUAGCAGUGAAAUGCGUAGAUAUGCGGAGGAACACCGAUGGCGAAGGCAAUCCCCUGGGCCUGCACUGACGCUCAUGCACGAAAGCGUGGGGAGCAAACAGGAUUAGAUACCCUGGUAGUCCACGCCCUAAACGAUGUCAACUGGUUGUUGGGUCUUAACUGACUCAGUAACGAAGCUAACGCGUGAAGUUGACCGCCUGGGGAGUACGGGCCGCAAGGUUUGAG